GCCGGUUCUAUCUAAAGUCGUUAGCCUAACCGCAAGGAGGGCGACGCCUAGGGUAGUGUCGGUAACUGGGGUGAAGUCGUAACAAGGUAGCCGUAGGUGAACCUGCAGAAGGAUCA
RNAcentral lists this ribosomal RNA (116 nucleotides) under uncultured eukaryote. Its description in RNAcentral is "partial small subunit ribosomal RNA". It matches the Rfam family "Bacterial small subunit ribosomal RNA", at positions 1410 to 1525 of the family's 1533-position model. The record is from RNAcentral.